This 253-nucleotide ribosomal RNA is filed under the name uncultured bacterium. RNAcentral's name for it is "partial 16S ribosomal RNA". It matches the Rfam family "Bacterial small subunit ribosomal RNA", at positions 524 to 776 of the family's 1533-position model. The record is from RNAcentral.
UACAGAGGGUGCGAGCGUUGUCCGGAAUCACUGGGCGUAAAGGGCGCGUAGGUGGCUUGGUAAGCGUGUGGUGAAAGCCCGGGGCUCAACCCCGGGUCUGCCGUGCGAACUGCCUGGCUUGAGCGUAGUAGAGGCAGGUGGAAUUUCGGGUGUAGCGGUGGAAUGCGUAGAGAUCCGAAAGAACACCGGUGGCGAAGGCGGCCUGCUGGGCUACUGCUGACACUGAGGCGCGACAGCGUGGGGAGCAAACAGG